RNAcentral lists this ribosomal RNA (630 nucleotides) under Triticum aestivum (bread wheat). Its description in RNAcentral is "partial small subunit ribosomal RNA". The record is from RNAcentral. Lineage: Eukaryota; Viridiplantae; Streptophyta; Magnoliopsida; Poales; Poaceae.
AUGGUCCGUGGUAGAAAAAUCAAAGAAACCGGGCAAUGGGUGUUGAAGAGUCAUGUUGGCACUCACAUGUGCAUACCCCCGGACAAGGCAGAUCGAAGCAAAGGACACCGUCAACUCACGUCUGAGUAUCUAGGAUACAAAUUGUUGAAUCCAAUAGCACAUGACCCAACCGUGAAGGUCAAGUUUCUCAUGUCUUCGAUUGAGGAACUAUUCGGAUACCCGGUCAAGUAUGGGAAGGCAUGGAUGGCGAAGGCAAACACUAUUAGGAUGUUGCAUGGUGAUUAUGAGGCCGCAUAUAACAUUCUGCCCAACAUGUUGGCAGCCAUUGCUCAUAGAAACCCGGGAAUGCACCCUCGGGUGGAGUCAACUGACGGUGUGUUUCGUCGUUCCUUCUGGAGCUUUGGACAAUGCAUUGAGGCAUUCACGUUUUGUCGCCCGGUCUUGUCUAUAGAUGGUACAUUCUUGACUAGCAAAUACAAGGGAGCACUGAUGGCGGCGAUGGCCCACUCUUCAAAUGAUAACGUGUUGCCGGUGGCAUUUGCCUUGGUGCCUUUGAAGCACAAUGAUAAUUGGGAGUGGUUCAUGGGGCAUGUGAGAACCAAGGUUAUAAGGGGGGCUAAGCUUCUGUGA